This 492-nucleotide ribosomal RNA is filed under the name uncultured bacterium. RNAcentral describes it as "partial 16S ribosomal RNA". It matches the Rfam family "Bacterial small subunit ribosomal RNA", at positions 30 to 507 of the family's 1533-position model. The record is from RNAcentral.
AUUGAACGCUGGCGGCAUGCUUUACACAUGCAAGUCGAACGGUAACAGGCCUUCGGGUGCUGACGAGUGGCGAACGGGUGAGUAAUGCAUCGGAACGUGCCCAGAGGUGGGGGAUAACGCAGCGAAAGCUGUGCUAAUACCGCAUGUGAUCUGAGGAUGAAAGCGGGGGACCAGGCAGCAAUGUUUGGCCUCGCGCCUUUGGAGCGGCCGAUGUCAGAUUAGGUAGUUGGUGGGGUAAAGGCCUACCAAGUCGACGAUCUGUAGCUGGUCUGAGAGGACGACCAGCCACACUGGGACUGAGACACGGCCCAGACUCCUACGGGAGGAAGCAGUGGGGAAUUUUGGACAAUGGGCGCAAGCCUGAUCCAGCAAUGCCGCGUGCGGGAAGAAGGCCUUCGGGUUGUAAACCGCUUUUGUACGGAACGAAAAGGCUCUGGCUAAUACCUGGGGCUGAUGACGGUACCGUAAGAAUAAGCACCGGCUAACUACGUG